UCAUGGCUCAGAUUGAACGCUGGCGGCAGGCCUAACACAUGCAAUUCGAACGGUAACAGGAAGCAGCUUGCUGCUUUGCUGACGAGUGGCGGACGGGUGAGUAAUGUCUGGGAAACUGCCCGAUGGAGGGGGAUAACUACUGGAAACGGUGGCUAAUACCGCAUAACGUCGCAAGACCAAAGAGGGGGACCUUCGGGCCUCUUGCCAUCAGAUGUGCCCAGAUGGGAUUAGCUUGUUGGUGAGGUAACGGCUCACCAAGGCGACGAUCCCUAGCUGGUCUGAGAGGAUGACCAGCCACACUGGAACUGAGACACGGUCCAGACUCCUACGGGAGGCAGCAGUGGGGAAUAUUGCACAAUGGGCGCAAGCCUGAUGCAGCCAUGCCGCGUGUAUGAAGAAGGCCUUCGGGUUGUAAAGUACUUUCAGCGGGGAGGAAGGUGUUGUGGUUAAUAAC
RNAcentral lists this ribosomal RNA (454 nucleotides) under Salmonella enterica subsp. enterica serovar Schwarzengrund. RNAcentral's name for it is "bacterial SSU rRNA". It matches the Rfam family "Bacterial small subunit ribosomal RNA", at positions 17 to 467 of the family's 1533-position model. Lineage: Bacteria; Pseudomonadati; Pseudomonadota; Gammaproteobacteria; Enterobacterales; Enterobacteriaceae. The record is from RNAcentral.